RNAcentral lists this ribosomal RNA (253 nucleotides) under uncultured bacterium. RNAcentral's name for it is "partial 16S ribosomal RNA". It matches the Rfam family "Bacterial small subunit ribosomal RNA", at positions 524 to 776 of the family's 1533-position model. The record is from RNAcentral.
GACGAACCGUGCGAACGUUGUUCGGAAUCACUGGGCUUAAAGGGCGCGUAGGCGGAUUGGAUAGUCGGAGGUGAAAUCCUGCAGCUCAACUGUAGAACUGCCUUCGAAACUGCCAAUCUCGAGGGAGGUAGGGGCAUGUGGAACUUCCGGUGGAGCGGUGAAAUGCGUAGAGAUCGGAAGGAACGCCGGUGGCGAAAGCGACGUGCUGGACCUCUUCUGACGCUGAGGCGCGAAAGCUAGGGUAGCGAACGGG